Hibiscus syriacus is the source of this 169-nucleotide long non-coding RNA. RefSeq lists it as uncharacterized. The transcript has 3 exons. The record is from RefSeq and is a predicted model, not a curated record. NCBI's taxonomy places the organism in Eukaryota, Viridiplantae, Streptophyta, Magnoliopsida, Malvales, Malvaceae.
CACACUUCCCAAUGAAGGAGUUAGUUAUAUUAGCAGCGUCAAAAAUCCAAGAAUAAAGGAAGUUUACAUGACUGAGGAAGAAGCUGAUAAAAUUGCUGGGUUAGCUGAUGUUGAAUUUGUGAUGCCUGGGGAAUAUCAUGUUCUAUUUCCAAAGCCACCUACUCCACCU